Pangasianodon hypophthalmus (striped catfish) is the source of this 2329-nucleotide long non-coding RNA. RefSeq lists it as uncharacterized. Lineage: Eukaryota; Metazoa; Chordata; Actinopteri; Siluriformes; Pangasiidae. The transcript has 2 exons. The record is from RefSeq and is a predicted model, not a curated record.
CCGAUUUAAGCAAGCAGAUAAAGUUGCAGUGCCAGCGUUGGUGCGUUCUGGUGUAGCUCUGAUAGGACUCUCCUCUUGCUUAUCUGCCUGUCCCAUAUCUGUCCAUCCCCACUCACCCCACCCAAGCUGAAGAGCCUGCAGCCAUCACAUGCAACUGGGGUCACUCCCAAUGUCAGCCUAUAGUCCUGCUAAUGCAGAACGCAGACAUGUGUGCUGGUCUGGGAUCAGGUUGGGUUUAGGAGGAACUGUGAAGGGCAUCAGAAGGAGAAAGGUUAAAAAGUGAAAGCAGACCUGUGUUGGUACACUUUACACUAAAUGAUUUGUUCAGUAUAUAUCAGCCUUUAUUCAUAAACACCUGUAUGACUACAUUACUUGAGUUUUAUGUGAAAAUUAGUUGUGAUAAUGUGCAAUCAACACUUUAUUAAAACCUUGUUAUACAAAGUAUAGAGCAUGAAUUAGUAACCUAAACUCACUUAUUUAGAUUUAGUUGUCUAUAUUAGACCUUUAGGUUCUAGUUGGGAUCCAGUGACUGCAGUUUAUGGCUUUAAAUGUUCUAUUCAGUGGUGUCUUGGUGUUGAUCAGCUGACAGGAAAAAGGGCAGAACAAUAAAAUAAAACAACAAUAAUAUAAACAAUAAAAGAAAAUAUCUAUUAUUUAGCAAAAAAGAUUCUCCCAAUGUCAUUUGGAAAGGUUCAUUGUUCCUAAAGGGGCUCUACAUGGGAUGAUCUCUCAUAGCGAAACACCCUGUUGUAGCAUUCAAGAUCCAACUGUAAGCAGCCUCUAAGGAACCUUAGUGAUAAAUGCAGUUCAAGGAGAAUAAAUGUUCAAAUAAAAAGAGAGAAAAAUGUAGGUAAGAAUUAAAAAAUGACCAAAAAUCUUGCUUUCAAGUUUCAAAGACAAAUAAGCCGACUGAAAAAAGACUAGUUCAAGUGUAAAUUUAAAAUAGUCUACAAAACACAAGCUUUGAUGUCAUCAGAACAAUGAACUGCAUAACAAAAAAACUUAACAGUUCACUUCAUGUCAUUGUAACAUAUGCAUACAUAUGCGUAACUAUAUGUCUUAGACCCAGUGUAGUCAAGGAAAAUAUUCAGCUUUAGAGAACAAACAUACAUAAGCAGCCAAAAACAAACAUAUCUAAUAAAUUGAGUCAUUAGUUUAUAACUUUAUUUUUGGUUCAAUUCCAGGUUUAGCUGGAGUGAUAUGAAGGCGUGUCCUUCCAAAUGUACAGGCACGCUAAAGUCAGGAGUUACUGUUUGGUGGUUGAUAGAGGACAGGAAUCUGAUUGGUUGAAAGGCGAGAAAGGAGAGCCCAGAUAAGAGCGAGACAACCCUCGUGUCAUCACCAUAUGCAAAUGAGUAAAGGUCAUUAAAACGCUGAGGGAAGGGGGAUAUUUGACAGAACUCUGGGGGGGACGCUGGACAGAAUGGAGACACCGAGCCUGCAGACAAAUAGAAAGGAAGGAAAGAUGACAAGGAAGGUGUCAAGCGAGUGUAAUUAAGCUGUGUGUUAACACCUACUUCAAGGGGAUUCGAAACAAGUGACCUUAAGGAAUGAUCCGGACAUUUCUCGCAUAAACGCUCUUGAGAUCUUAUAUUGUCUCCUGGACAGGAUAUCAUCAUAUACUGUAAGUUCAUUAUGGAGACACUACAGUAUAGAUGAUGUACUAUCCAGGACGGCAUUCCUCCUCCUGUGGGUUACCUCACACACACACACACACACAGUCGAUGAUAGAGGGAGGCGGUUAAACCGUUACCAUUACUGAGUUUAGUAAUGGUAAGGGUUCUCUUGCUUCUUCUCACUGACACCAACCAUCGAAGACACCGAAAGGAAUUAACUUCAUAUGAAUAUUUUGAAAAUUUGUACAAAAUAUACUUCCACGUUAUAUAACUAUAUAAUUAAUUCUUAUUUAAUUUAAUGUAACAUAACUUGAUGGGGAACUACACACUGAAUCUUCUGGAAUAGUCUAGAUAUUCAUAUUAGUAUAAGUGAAAUCAAUGCAUUAAUUCAGUAAAAAGUUUAUUUUGCAUGCAGGCUGUGUUUAUGAUUGUGUAUUUUGUGUAUUAUGAAUGUUUUGAAUUAACAAUUCAAUAGCAUGUCAGUAGUAACUACUUUCAGUCUAUAAAUGUAUUAUGUUGUGCUUUGGUGAAUUGUUCUAUUAAUUCUCAUAGCUAUUCGUCAUGCAUGUAUCAUACAAGACCAUUUCAGGUCAUCAAGUUCGAUUUUUUUUUAUUGGCAACCGAGUAUAGCUAAUAGCAAAUAUUAUAUGCUGUGAAUAUUAUCAAUAUUGUAUGUACUAUGUCUCAAUAAACACAUCCACCUGAAUCAAUAA